RNAcentral lists this ribosomal RNA (385 nucleotides) under uncultured bacterium. Its description in RNAcentral is "bacterial SSU rRNA". It matches the Rfam family "Bacterial small subunit ribosomal RNA", at positions 370 to 772 of the family's 1533-position model. The record is from RNAcentral.
AAUGGGGGCAACCCUGACGCAGCCAUGCCGCGUGAACGAUGAAGGCCUUAGGGUUGUAAAGUUCUUUUACCCGUGACGAUGAUGACGGUAACGGGGGAAUAAGCUCCGGCUAACUUCGUGCCAGCAGCCGCGGUAAUACGAAGGGGGCUAGCGUUGUUCGGAAUUACUGGGCGUAAAGCGCGCGCAGGCGGUUCGAUAAGUUGGGGGUGAAAUCCCCGGGCUCAACCCGGGAAUGGCCUUCAAGACUGUCGAGCUAGAGGACGAGAGAGGUGAGUGGAAUUCCCAGUGUAGAGGUGAAAUUCGUAGAUAUUGGGAAGAACACCGGUGGCGAAGGCGGCUCACUGGCUCGUUUCUGACGCUGAGGCGCGAAAGCGUGGGGAGCAAA